UCCUGACCAGUCCAAUGGUUAGGACUUUGCACUGCCAGUGCAGGGGCUGCAGGUUCAAUCCCUGGUCAGGGA
Molecule: transfer RNA, 72 nt
Filed under: Bos taurus (domestic cattle)
Lineage: Eukaryota; Metazoa; Chordata; Mammalia; Artiodactyla; Bovidae
Also listed under: 1 other name
Rfam family: tRNA
About the family: Transfer RNA (tRNA) molecules are approximately 80 nucleotides in length.
Source: Rfam by way of RNAcentral